This 84-nucleotide transfer RNA is filed under the name Candidatus Spyradocola merdavium. RNAcentral's name for it is "tRNA-Leu". It matches the Rfam family "tRNA". From Rfam's summary of the family: Transfer RNA (tRNA) molecules are approximately 80 nucleotides in length. Their secondary structure includes four short double-helical elements and three loops (D, anti-codon, and T loops). RNAcentral also lists the same sequence under 1 other name. Lineage: Bacteria; Bacillati; Bacillota; Clostridia; Christensenellales; Christensenellaceae. The record is from RNAcentral.
GCGGGCGUGGCGGAAUGGCAGACGCGCUAGACUUAGGAUCUAGUGCCCAAUGGCGUGGGAGUUCAAGUCUCUUCGCCCGCACCA